RNAcentral lists this ribosomal RNA (448 nucleotides) under uncultured bacterium. RNAcentral's name for it is "bacterial SSU rRNA". It matches the Rfam family "Bacterial small subunit ribosomal RNA", at positions 330 to 792 of the family's 1533-position model. The record is from RNAcentral.
GCCAGACUCCUACGGGAGGCAGCAGUGGGGAAUAUUGGGCAAUGGGCGCAAGCCUGACCCAGCAACGCCGCGUGAAGGAAGAAGGCUUUCGGGUUGUAAACUUCUUUUCUUGGGGACGAAGAAAGUGACGGUACCCAAGGAAUAAGCCACGGCUAACUACGUGCCAGCAGCCGCGGUAAUACGUAGGUGGCAAGCGUUAUCCGGAUUUAUUGGGUGUAAAGGGCGUGUAGGCGGGAAUGCAAGUCAGAUGUGAAAACUAUGGGCUCAACCCAUAGCCUGCAUUUGAAACUGUAUUUCUUGAGUGCUGGAGAGGCAAUCGGAAUUCCGUGUGUAGCGGUGAAAUGCGUAGAUAUACGGAGGAACACCAGUGGCGAAGGCGGUCUGCUGGACAGCAACUGACGCUGAGGCGCGAAAGCGUGGGGAGCAAACAGGAUUAGAUACCCGAGUA